GCGUGCGUGCAGGGCGUUGUGCGGCGCGGGCCGGUUUCUGCGGCGCUUGGCGCCCCCCGGCGGCAACGGGGCUUCAAUGCCACGGCCUGACUGGAGCGUCCGCCAUGGAGUCGCAGAAAGAGGCGCGAACACUCCAGGAGCCAGUCCAGCGGCCGCCUGGGGCCUCAAGGUCUCAGACACCGAAGGACAAGGAGCGGCGGGAGCGCAGCGCAGUGCCGGAGGCGGCUGCCCUGGGCGCAGAGGCGGACGACACCAGUGCGGACGGGCUAUGGGAGCUGCCGGUGGAGCCGGCCGAUCGGAGGCCCGAGUGCAGCCGCUGCAGCCGGCCUCAGAAAGUGUGUUUGUGUCCAUUUCUCCCAGCACACCCUCUGCCUAUCUCUACCCACUUGUAUAUAAUUCAGCAUCCAGCAGAGGAAAACAAAGUAUUGCGGACAGUUCCUCUACUAGCAGCGUGCCUCCCCCAGGACAAGUGCAAAGUAAAGAUCGGUCGUCGCUUCAGUGAAGAAAGAGAUCCUGAACUUUCAACUAUUUGCCAGAAGUCUGGUACAUUAAUAUUAUAUCCAGGGGCUGAAGCUGCUAAUUUGGAAGAAUUUAUAUUAGAUUCUCCUGUUUAUCCUUCUACAAUUAUCAUCAUUGAUGGUACAUGGAGCCAGGCUAAGGACAUUUUCUAUAAGAAUUCCUUGUUUCGACACCCCAAACAGCAAGAAGACUUCCAUUUGCAAGCCAGGAAGAGAGCUCUCACCAGGACCCUGACAAUGCAGGUGCAGUUAAAAACUAGCAUUUCUAGUCAGUAUGUAAUUCGGAUGCAGCCAACUAAUAGAUGCCUUUCUACACUGGAGUGUGCAGCUGUUGCUCUUUCCAUCCUAGAGAAAAAUAAUUACAUACAAGAGAUUACUGGGGAAGACAUGCUAAAGAGCACAGAUGCUCAUUGGAAUAACAGCCAGAUUUGAUGUGGAAAAGGACUAAAAAGAAAGUGGAGUGAGGAAGAAGUUUGUUGAUUUGAAGGGACCGAGUUAGGGAGUGAAGUCCAGGUAAAAACUGAGGGACACAGAAAAGAAGACAAUGAGAUGAUGACUGUGUCGGGCUGAGAAUGAGCAGUGCAUUUCGGGCUGCUGAUUCGUACGAUGGACUGAAUAUUUGUGUCCUCCUAAAAUUAUACAUUGAAAUUCUAACCCACAGUGUAUUUGGAGAUGGAGAAUUUAAGAGGGUACAGUAGAAGUCACCAGUCUACAACCUAGAAGAGGCCCUUCACUAUGCUGGCACCCUGAUCUCAUAUUUCCAGCUUCCAGAACUCAAAGCCGACAGGUGGUUCAGCUACCACUCCUCAGGCUUAAAAUGGAAACAAAUUCAGAAACCAGCUCUAUCCUCCUCACUCCACACCAUCAACACAAGAAGAGAGGCUAUCCCCUCACUCACAUUUUGGAGAGGAGAUGCUUUCUUUCCCCAAGGGGAAUUGGAAAAAAUCAGAUGGGAGUAGUGAGCUUUUUACCAGUGGUCCAUGUUGCAGUAACCAGCCAUCUAUACCAACUAUGUUGAGUGUAUAUACAAUGAGUGAAAACAGCAAUUAAUACCAAACUCAGGCAAGACUGUAACAAAUCAGGCAAACUGGCCUAGUCAUAAGGGUAGUGUUUGUUCUUUUCUUGCUCCUUGAGCCCCACCCUGACAGGGCAGCAAGUGGCGGUGGGUAGAAGGGGAGAGGAGAGGUAUGGAAGUCAAACCCUCCACUUCAGGUGAGUGAAGUCAAAGCUCCUGCCUAUGCUUGGGGCAGGGUUAGGAGUAGAGAGAAAAAAUUUGAAUCAGAUGUGAUAUGUAAGUCUUUUUAAAAAAAAUAUAAAUAAGACCAAAUCAUGGAAAUAGAAAGGGUACUGUUUGUACAAAUCAGAGUGUCUGAAAACUUAAGGAACUGGGUCAAGAUUAUAUUAAGGAAGGCACUACUUAUAUAAGACAUCUAGGAAUAGCUACUGCCUAAAAAGUCACCUUUAUAUCCCAAUGAGUUGACAGGGUUCAAUAAGCCAGUUACAUAUAUCUACAAUAAAAAAAUUUCAAGCAGUACAAGAAGAGAUCAUAAUUAUACUAUAUAAAAAAGCCAUAAUAGAUAUGUCAACACAACACUGAGGGUCUUGCAGUCUUUUUUCUUCUUCUUCAUAUAUAUAUAUAUGUAUAUAUAUAUAUAUAUACAUACACACACACACACACAUACACAGACACACCAAUAAUAAGGGCUGAAGUUGAGGCAGCAAUUAAUAGGGCUGAAGUUGAGGCAGCAACCAAUUCUUCCAGAUUUAGGCUUGGGAGGGUGCAAGUGUCCAGGAAUUCAUCCAUUUCUUUCAGGUUUACUGGUUUAUGUGCAUAGAGUUGUUUGUAGUAAUCUCUGAUGGUGGUUUGUAUUUCUGUGGAAUCUGUGGUGUAUCCCCUUUAUCAUUUUUUAUUGCAUCUAUUUGGUUAUUCUCUCUUUUUUAUUAAUCUGGCUAGUGAUCUGUCUAUUUUGUUGAUCUUUACAAAAAACUAGCUCCUGGAUUUAUUGAUUUUUUGAAGGGUUUUUUGUGUCUCUAUCUCCUUCAUUUCUGCUCUGAUCUUAGUUAUUUUGUAUCUUCUGCUAGUUUUUGAGUUUUUUUGAUCUUGCUCCUCUAGCUCUUCAAAUUUUGAUGAGAGGAUGCCAAUUUUAGAUCUUUCAUUGCUUCUCAUGUGGGCAUUUAUUGCUAUAAAUUUUCCUCUAGACACUGCUUUAAAUGUGUCCCAGAGAUUCUGAUAUGUUGUGUCUUCAUUCCCACUGGUUUUGAAGAACAUCUUUAUUUCUGCUGUCAUUUCAUUGUUUAUCCAGUCAACAUUCAAGAGCCAGUUGUUCAGUUUCCAUGAAGUUGCAUAGUUCUGAGUUAGUUUCUUAAUCCUGAGUUCUAGUUUGAUUGCAGUGUGUUCUGAGAGACUGUUUGUUAUGAUUUCCGUUCUUUUGCAUUUGCUGAGAAUUGAUUUACUUCCAAUUAUGUGGUCAGUUUUAGAGUAGGGGUUGAAGUGGUGCCGAGAAUAAUGUAUAGUCUGUGGAUCUGGGGUGGAGAGUUCUGUAAAUGUCUAUUAGGUUUGCUUGGUCCAGAUCUGAGUUCAAUUCCUGAAUAUCCUUGUUAAUAUUCUGUCUCGUUGUUCUGUCUAAUAUUGACAAUGCAGUGUUAAAGUCUCCCACUAUUAUUGUGUGGGAGUCUAAGUCUCUUUGUAGGUUGUUAAGAACUUGCUUUAUGUAUCUGGGUGCUCCUGUAUUGGGUGUGUAUAUAUUUAGGAUCGUUAGCUCUUCUUGUUGCAUUGAUCCUUUUACCAUUACGUAAUACCCUUCUUUGUCUCUUUUGAUCUUUGUUGCUUUAAAAUCUAUUUUAUCAGAGUCUGGGAUUGCAACUCCUGAUUUUUUUUGGUUUCCAUUUGCUUGGUAAAUCUUCCUUCAUCCCUUUAUUUGAGCCUAUGUGUGUCCUUGUACCUGAGAUGGGUUUCCUGAAUAUAGCACACCUGUGGGUCUUGAAUUUUUAUCUAAUUUGCUAAUGUGUGUCUUUUGAUUGGGGCAUUUAGCCUAUUUACAUUCAAAGUUAAUAUUGUUCUGUGUGAAUUUGAUUCUACCAUUUUGAUGCUAGCUUGUUGUUUUGCCCAUUAGUUGAUGCAGUUUCUUUAUUAUGUCAAUGUGCUCUUUACCAUUUGGUAUGUUUUUGGAGUGGCUCAUACUGGUUGUUCCUUUCUAUGCAUAGUACUUCUUUCAGGAGCUCUUGAAAGGCAGACCUGGUGGUGACAAAAUCUCUCAGGAGUUGCUUCUUUGAAAAGGGUUUUAUUUCUCCUUUGCUUCUGAAGCAUAGUUUGGCUGGUUAUGAAAUUCAGUUGAAAGUCCUUUUUUUUUUUUAAGAAUGUUGAAUAUUGGCCCCUAUUCUCUUCUGGCUUGUAGGGUUUCUGCCAAGAGAUCCACUGUGAGUCUGAUGGGCUUCCCUUUGUGGGUAACCUGACCUUUCUCUCUAGCUACCCUUAGCAUUUUUUUCUUCAUUUCAACCCUGGUGAAUCUGACGAUUAUGUGCCUUGGAGUUGGUCUUCUUGAGGAAUAUCUUUGUGGUGUUCUCUGUAUUUCCUGGACUUGAAUAUUGGCCUGCCUUGCUAGGUUGGGGAAGUUCUCCUGGAUAAUAUCCUGAAGGGUGUUUUCCAGCUUGGAUUCAUUCUCUCCAUCACAUUCAGGUACACCUAUCAAACAUAGAUUAGGUCUUUUCACAUGAUCUUACAUUUCUUGGAGGCUUUAUUCAUUUCACAUGAUCUUAUAUUUCUUGGAGGCUUUGUUAAUUUUACUCUUUUUUCUCUAAUCUUGCCUUCUCAUUUUAUUUCAUUGAGUUUUAUUCUCUGAUAUCCUUUCUUCUGCUUGGUUGAUUUGGCUAUUAAAACUUGUGUAUGCUUUGUGAAGUUCUCAUGUUGUGUUUUUCAGCUCCAUCAAUUCAUUUCUAUUUUUCUCUAAUCUGUUUAUUCUUGUUAGCAUUUAGUCAAACCUUUUUUUCAGGGUUCUUAGUUUCUUUGCAUUGGGUUAGAACAUGUUCGUUUAGCUCAAAGAAGUUUCUUAUUAUCCAAAUUUUGAAGCCUGUUUCUGUCAAUUUAUCAGACUCAUUCUCCAUCUAGCUUUGUUCCCUUGCUGGUGAGGAGUUGUGAUCCCUUGGAGGUGAAGAGGCAUUCUGGUAUUGGGUCUUUUCAUCUUUUUUGCACUGGUUUCUUCCCAUCUUUGUGGAGUUAUUUAUCUGUGGUCUUUGUAUUUGGUGACUUUUGGAUGGGGUCUCUGGAUGUCCUUUUUGUUGAUGUUGAAGUUAUUUCUUUCUGUUUUUUAGUUUUCCUUCUAACAGUCAGGCCCCUCUGCUAUAGGUCUGCUGGAGGUCCACUCCCAACCCUGCUUACCUGGGAAUCACCUGCAGUGGCUGCAGAACAGUAAGGGUUGCUGUCAGUUUCUUCUUCUGUUAUCUUUGUCCCAGAAGGAUAACCACCAUAUGUCAGCCUGAGCUCUCCUUUAUGAGGUGUUUCUUUGGAUAUACGAGGCUUGUGGAGCUGCUUGAGGAGACAGUUUGUCCCUUAUAGGAGCUCAAGCACUGAGCUGUGAGCUCUGUUCUUCUGUUCAGAGCUGCUGGGCAGGUACAUUUAAGUGUGCUGCAGCGGAACUCAUAACCACCCUUUUUCCCCAUGUGCUCACUCCUGGAAGGUGGGACUUUAUUUAUAAGUUCCUGUCAUGCUGCUGCCUUUUUUCCAAGAUGCCCUGCCCAGCAAAAAGGUAGCCUAGUCACAGUCUGCCAGCAGAGGCAUUGCUGAGCUGCUGUGGGCUGUGCCCAGCUGUUCUGUGAACUUCCUUGUGGUUUUGUUUAUAGAGGUAUAGUUAGAACUGUCUUGGUAAUGGCAGUCUGCCUCAGUAAUGGUUGACUGCCUCGGAAAUGGCAGAUUGCCUCAAUAAUGGCAGUCUGCCUUGGUAGUGGUAGAUUGCCUCGGUAAUGGUGGACACCCUUCUCCCCACAGAGCUGGACCAGCCUGGGUCCAACUGUGCUUGUUGUGAAACUCUCAGUCAAGAGUGUUUCAGAUUGCUGGUCUUUGUGGCGGUGUGACCCACUGAGCCAGAUCACUUGGCUCUCUGUUUCGGCUCCCAUUUUUUCAGUUGAAUGGGUGACUCUGUCUCCCAGGCAUUCCAUGUGCCAGUUGAAACGGUACCCAGAUUUGUGUGAGUUUUUGUGCAGAGACCUGCUGCGCUGGCUGAAACAGCCAUGCUGGAGACUCGUGGCAUUUUCCAACCAGGAAUCUUCUGGUCUGUGGGCAGUAAAAACUCAUUUGGAAAUGUGCUGAUCCCUCACCCUCUGCAUUCUCGCUGGGAACUGUACUCCAGAGCUGUUCCUAUUUGGCUAUCUUGAAUCAAGAACCUCCUUCUUUCUUCUUAUGGGAAAAUCUUCACAUGGGACAGGUGAAUCAGGAUGUUUGGAGCUUCUUGGGUACCUCCUGCUUUAGGGAGUCUCCAUUACUGCAGAAAGCUUCUCGCAGGCCUAGGGUGUGAGUAUUCAGGAAGGUCAGCAACAAUGCUUUUCUAAACUGGAGCUCAGAAGGAAAGCUCCAUUAGCCUUCAUCAGAUCCACAUGACUUACUUUAAUGUCAGUAUGUAAAGGUCUUUUUUGAAUGACUGAGAAUUCUAAGAAAGGUUGUAUAGAGGUCAAGGUUCUAGUUAACUCAGAACUUCCUAAGGGAAGGCAUUUCAAAUUUGUGAUGUGGAUGCUGCCUGUACCACUGACUGGGCUCAUACCCUGCCCACACCCCCACCAAACACUUGUUAUGCAAUCCCGUUUUUUGGUCUCUUAGUCUUCUUGGUCUGAAAGACAACUCUAUUCCUUUCCAUGGGAGAUUUCUCUGUCUGGGUUUCUUUUGGCUUCUCCCAGUUUGCAAAAUGUCUGAGGCUGUGUCCUCUUGAGGAUUAUCCUUCUCUGCACUUCAUGAAGGCUCUGGACUGAAAGGGGCUGUGUCUUCCUACCUCUGCAGGACUAGCUAGCUACCUAAUUUUCUGACCCUGGUAUAAAAUGAUAAUGUGAAACAUUUUGUUAAAAAAUUAUUAUGAAUUUUGAGAUAGUGGCAGCAGAGCCCUAAGCCAGAGCCCUUCUCAGCAUGACGUCCUGUGUGACUGCACUGGUCUCAUGCCCAGGAAGCUGGCCCUGCCCUUCUGUGAGAGCUGGAGCCCAGCUGCUGCCUUUACUGGGUCAUCUCUAAAAGGGGUACAGUGUUCAAAAUCAUCAAUUUUCCUCAGAGACACUGUAGUCAGUACAUUUCCAGGAAAGAACACCCCCUGGCAUGACUCUGACUUUGCCCUUGAGGAACAAAACACAGCCUGUGGUGGCACUGAGAUGCCUUUGAGUCUUCACUAUCUACCUGGACCUGAUAGCAUCCCAAAUGAGAAAAACACACACAUUGGCUUCUAAUUCUCUCUUGCCCAAGGAAUGGUGCUGGUGCCACUUGAUUUAUUUUGAUUCAUUCUUUCUCUGACAGAAGGAGAGGAGAGAAUUUUUAAUUCUUUUUUUUGUGUGUGAUAAAAUAUACAUAACAUCAAAUAUACCAUCUCAACCAUUUUCAGGUGCCUAGUACAGUGGCCUCAAGUACAUUCAUACUAUUGUGCAGCCAUGACUACUAUUCAUUCCACAACAUUUUCAUCACCUCAAAUUCAAUUCCUUUUAUUGCAUCUAUUUCCCUGGACCAGAAACCCCUUCAAAGGCUGAGAACAUGACUUAGUCAUCUUUUAAUAUCUGUGGUCAUAGACACUCAAAAUGCUUAUUAAACUGCAUUUACAUUCAGCAGCGAUAAACAGAGUAGAAAGCUGCCGUAGCAUUACCUGUGGAAAUAAUGAAAGCCUGUGAUUCAGUGAGUGCUGCUUGCCUUUGUUAUCAAUGCCACCCUUUCCUUUCCCAGGAAAAAUGUGAAUAGAGUUUUUCAUAUGUACACUAUUAAUAUCCUUUAUGAUGUCCUGCUGCCUUCUAAUUUAUAAAAUAUUCAAGAAUUUCCAGUAAACUGAGGAAAAUGCAACUAAACAAAGCUCGUGCCUUUAAUCCUUUCAUCAAAACAAAACAAAACACACACACACACACACACACACACACACACACACACACCCAGAGAAUAAUUAACUACUAGUAUUUACUUGCAUUCCAUCCUGAGUUCUUCCAUGGGUCAAUUCCUUUUUCAAAUGAACAAGAAUUUUACUUUAUCUAAAGUUUUUGUUAGGUAAUGUGAGGAAACCACUUUUUGUCUGUUUGAAAACUAUUUGGUUAAGUGUGUCUAAUAUGCAUAUUUAGGAAAGAAAGGACACACAGUCCAAUCGUUGUUCACCUUUUAAAGGAUCACCUAAAAGAAUUCAGUAAAUAUUUUUAUAUGAUACUUUGAUGUUUAGAGGCUGGAGACAAAUUAGCAAAUUAGUAAAAACAGAUGUCAAGGAAAUGUUUUGACUGGAGGAAGAUGGCCAGUGGGUUCUUAUGGUCCUGGAUCUAAAUAAAUGGUUUGAAAUGAUAAGUGACAAGAUGCCAAAGGGAGGAAUGUUGCAAUUGUUAGAUGGAAGUAUGUCCAAAAAGAAUUAUUCCUUUCUUAAAUAUUUAAGCAAACAGGUAUAGGCCAAAAUAAGGCAGCCUAUAGGCUUUUUCAAGCAAAGCUCUUCUGAUGUACUGCUGUUAUAUAUAUUUCUUAGACACAUUUUUGAUUGUUAGAAAAGAUUGAGGGAAAAUACACUUGGGCCAAGAAAGGAUUCUCAAUAGAACUGUCAUGAGGAGCAAGCUGUAUCUCCCCUUUUCUUCAUAAGAGGCAUCAAUAUUACCUUCUAGCCAUUUUUUUGGAUACUCACUAUUAUACCUAGGAAUUUAUCAUAGUUCUCAAAGUGAGAGAAAAAAUAAAGAACCAUUUGUCUAUAAGAAUCUUGUCAUUGGAGUCAACUGAUAAUCAUGUAUGAAGCUGACUCAGGAAUUUCUUAACAUUUGCUGUUGAGUACGAUUCCUUUAUAUUGUGUUCUAAAUUAUAGCUAUGUUAGAAAGCAGUUCACUUUGAUCGUCACCUUCUCCUGGGUCUGAAGAAAAGGUUUUGACUGUGUCAGUGUUCAAGAUUUAGUAGGAGUUGGUGCCAUUUUCAGAUCCAGGAGUGAAAUCUCUGUAACUUAAUGGCAUAAGGUCUUUAAAAGCAAUACAGAAAGUUACAUACAUGUAAAAGCCUUAAUUCAUUAAAUCUUAGUUUUUUAAAGCAUUCAAAAAGCUAAUAACGAUGACAUAGAAAUUAUUUUGAUAACAUGUAAAAUAUUUUUCUUAGACUAGUUACCAAAAGGCAAAGAAAGAUCUUCUGCCGUGUGAUUGCUCCUUUUUAUAGGAAGCCCAUUUAGAUGACCUGAUGAAGAACAUACUGGAAUUAAUCAGACACAGGAGGUGUGUGUUCAGCAUCAUAAGUGAACGUUAUAUUACAGAGGAAACAAGAAACUAGAAAACUAGUACUUUGAGCAUGGGAACAGGAUGAGAAGUUUUCUGGUUACAUGGAGCAAUUCAGACAUAUCAAGAAAAGCCAAGAGUACAGAAUCAAGUUUUACUGGAGGAAAGCAUUGCUUUCUAAUCCUUCAAGAGAAACAUUCCUGACACAAUCAUGGUUAGCACAGAGGAAAAAAAAUUACAGGAGCUGGAGAAAAAGUUGAAGGAGAGAGAGUUAUUAUCUCAGGCCUUUGCAAGGGGACAAAACAGCUAAAAUAGCCAGGCUCAACAGAGUUGCACUUCUGAGAUAUGAAUCUGAUAAGUUUUUAAAAUAUGAGCAUAGCAUCAAAAUCAAAACCUUCUGUAAUUUUAUUAACCGCAAAGCACUAUAUUAAAGAAACCUGUUCUAAUCCAGGGACCAAUCCUUUUUACAUCUCUCUCCUCUGUUUACUGGUUCUUUUCUACCUUGUUUCAUGAAUAACCUUCCAAGUCCAUAAUUUGAAUUAACCUUUAGAUAACUUCUGAAUUAAAUAAAAUUAUUCUUUUUCUCAAUAAAACCACAUAUUUUAUGACACAUUCUAUAUUCAGAAUUAUAUAUUAACUAGAAUUCUUAUGCUCAAUAACCUUAAGUUUUAGUGAAAACCCUGGAAGAAAAAAUCCUGAACUAUAAUAUUUUAUAGAUGAGAACAUUUCACAUUUUUUUAAAAAAGAAACUGUUUCCCCAUAUUAUAAUCAUUUCUUACUUAGAAUGACCCAGACAUCUGAUGAGCAUCCAAAAUAAUUUCAGUAUUUUAAAUAACAUUAAAGAGUUUACCUACAUUUAUCCUAUUUACAUUUUGUUUAUUUUAGCAGUUUAUUUAAGUUACUUAUGAGAACUGAUAUAUUAGACAAAGCUUGUUAUCAUUUUCUUGUUAACCAUUCUUACAACCUGUGAAUAUCAGGUGUUCAUUUAAGUAACAAUGUUAAAUAUAUGGGUAUUUUGCCAAUAAUUCAGAUUCAGCUGUUUUUGAAAAUCAUACUAACAAUAUUAAAUUAGCCUUAUUUAUAAAAAAAAUCACACAAAGAUCAUUCUGUUCAUGACUAGGUUUAUAGUCUUGUAACAUUUUGUGCCAAAUCAUAGUUUAAAUAUUUUUAAACACCAAGCAGAGAGAAAUAUAAAACUCAGACAAAAAUGUGUGCUGAUAAUUAUGAAGACAUUUCUAUUUUUAUUUUACCAAUAAUUUUAAAGCUAACUUGUUUAUUAAAGAUUUACUUAAUUCACAGUAACUUGAAAAUGCUUAGACUUAUCUACUUAAUUUAUGAGUGCUCAUUUGUUUAUUUAUGUAUUAUUAGUAUUAUUUUUGACACAUGGUUUCACUCUAUCACUCAGGCUGGAGUGCAGUGGUACGGUCUCAGCUUACUGCAACCUCUGCCUCCUGAGCUCAAGUGAUCCUCUUGACUCAGCAUCCCAGGUAGCUGGGACUACAGUUUACACCAUCAUGCCCAGCUAAUUUUUGUAUUUUCUGUAGAGAUGGGGUUUCAUCAGGAUGGCAAGGCUGGUCUCGAGAUCUCGUGGGUUCAAGUGAUCUGCCUGCUUCAACCUUCGAAAGUGCUGGGAUUACAGGAGUGAGCCACUAAGUCUGGCCAGAGUAUUCCUUUAUUUAAAAGACAAUUUAGUACUCUGUAAAAACAACACAUAACAUUUAGUCACAUAUACACACAAAGAAAUAAAGAUCCAGCGCGGUGGCUCAAGCCUGUAAUCCCAGCACUUUGUGAGGCUGAGUCGGGUGGAUCACGAGGUCAAGAGAUCGAGACCAUCCUGGUCAACAUGGUAAACCCCGUCUCUACUAAAAAUAGAAAAAAUUAGUUGGGCAUGGUGGCGUGUGCCUGUAAUCCCAGCUACUCAGGAGGCUGAGGCAGGAGAAUUGCCUGAACCCAGGAGGCAGAGGUUGCGGUGAGCCGAGAUCGGGCCAUUGCACUCCAGCCUCGGUAAUAAGAAUGAAACUCCGACUCAAAAAAAAAAAAAGAUCCAAUAGCUUUUACCUUGGAAUUCUAGCCAUGAGUUAUGAAUAUGUUCACAUGGCUAAACUUUGUUUGCCCUAAGGGGUAAUUCAAUGAAGGCUGUGAGCCAAAAUUUUGGGUAAAGCAAUUUUCAUAGAAGUUUGAUUUUUAAAGGCCAAAUCUCUUUAGACUUCAAAUAAUACUAGGGCCAAACAGCACCCAAAACAUCAUGUAAUAAUCAGCUGACACUGCUUAGAACAGCAGCACAAAAGCCUGGAUGCAAGAAACUACAAUCCUGCUUUCCCAUUAAGGACAGUACUACAAUUCAAAGAUUUUCCAAGAUCAGGCAAAAUCAGGCAUGUUUAAGGUGCUAUGGCCAUAGACUUUCCCUCAUUCCACUGGCCCACAGCUGCAUUCAGACCAACCCUGAAAUGCACUCAAGUGGGCUACAUUGUGGGAUUGAACCCCAGCCUCCCAUGACUGCAUUGACAUGCACAUAAGCAGUCACCAAGACACAGUCCAACUGUGGCAGCAAUCGACAAGCCCCAAGAGUGUCCAGCCUGAGUCAGGGGCUUUCCUCUCUCAGCUGCUUGACUUUUUCAACCUCAAAUGGAAAUUUCUUCAGAAUUUCCCAAAUCAAGACGAGCAGUGCUUGCUUUUUGGAUCCACAGAAGACACUCACCUGUCCAGAUGCAGAUGUUCACAUACAGACACAAAUAAGCAAUUAUUAACAAGCCCCAAGAGUGUCCAAACUGAAACAGUAAGGGAGAUUUCCUCUCUGCAUUGGUUAGGCUUGUUCAACCUACAAAAAGAUUCCUCAAAUACAGAGGAGCCAUAUUGGCUAUCAGCUACCCAUAAAAGACACUUAUUUGUUCAGAAACAGAUGUCAGAUUUCAAGGGCUAUUCUUCCUAGGCAAUCAGGAUCAUAAUUGGGGCUGGCAGUAAGAGAGAGACUGAAACUCACCUUUGGCCAAAAAAAAAAAAAAAAAAAAAAAAGAUAGGCAGCUACCUAGGAGGUCUUCUGAAACUCUUCUGGCCUGUGACCAGUGAACUGUGAGCAACACAUUCCCAGUCAGGAAACCAAAAUCAGUUACUAAAAUAUCAGGGGAGGACCCUGUUGCUUCCUGCGUAGAAAGCCAAUCACUGAAACAGUGAGUAUUGCUAGGGAAGAACGCUUUCAUUCAGGUGACAUCAGCUAGAGAGAGGGGAGAUGAGUCUCAAAUCCAUCUCUUUCAACUGAUUAAAAUUGGGGUUUAUAUAGCAGGGAAAGAAUGUAGCUACCUAAAGUCAUGAUGGAUGAGAGAUCUGGCAUCUCAUUGUGUGGACACGAUGCUCUGGUGUUUUAGUUCCUUGCCUGAGGGUCAGUUUCCUGAAGAAGCAACUCCAAUGAGGUAAGUUUCAAGUUUUAACACUAGGGAGGGUCAAUUUCUAUGUUUAUUCAAAAAAACAGUCCACAUCAGUUCUUUGGGCCAGUUGAGCCAGUUAUAACUAGCUAUCAAGAAUGUCAAAGACUUUAAAAAAUGCUUUAUCCAAAGGAAAGGGUAAAAACUUAAAGCAAAACCAUAAUUUGAAAAUGUGCCUUACUUGCAAAACAGAUAAAUUGUGCCAGACCCAGCCAUGAUGUGUAUCACAGAUAAUCUAAAUUCAAACUUUUUUAACAUUGAUUCUUUUAGGCUCAUAUGUUGUAGAGAAGACCACAGAAAAGCUUACCUAAUGGUAGCUCUGUAUAGGCUUUUGUUCUAAAGAUAUAAUCACUGACACUUCCAGCAGCUCCCUAAUUUACAGAUUCUGAGAAAUCUCUAUCAAGACCAUCCUACAUUGCAGCACUGUUUACAAUAGCAAAGACCUGGAAUCAACCCGAAUGCCCAUUGAUAAUAGACUGGAUUGGAAAAAUGUGGCACAUAUACACCAUGGAAUAUUAUGCAGCAAUCAGAAAUGAUGAGUUUGUGUCGUUUGUAGCGACAUGGAUGAAUCUGGAGAACAUCAUCCUCAGCAAACUGACACAAGAACAGAAAAUGAAACACCGCAUAUUCUCACUCAUAGGCGGGUGAUGAAAAAUGAGAACACAUGGACACAGAAAGGGGAGUACUAAAC
Non-coding RNA from Callithrix jacchus (white-tufted-ear marmoset), 13019 nucleotides. NCBI's taxonomy places the organism in Eukaryota, Metazoa, Chordata, Mammalia, Primates, Cebidae. The record is from RefSeq and is a predicted model, not a curated record.